AUACUUACCUGGCAGGGGAGAUACCAUGAUCACGAAGGUGGUUUUCCCAGGGCGAGGCUUAUCCAUUGCACUCCGGAUGUGCUGACCCCUGUGAUUUCCCCAAAUGUGGGAAACUCGACUGCAUAAUUUGUGGUAGUGGGGGACUGUGUUUGUGCUUUCCCUUG
RNAcentral lists this small nuclear RNA (164 nucleotides) under Saimiri boliviensis boliviensis (Bolivian squirrel monkey). RNAcentral describes it as "U1 spliceosomal RNA (ENSSBOG00000018811.1)". It matches the Rfam family "U1 spliceosomal RNA". Rfam says of the family: U1 is a small nuclear RNA (snRNA) component of the spliceosome (involved in pre-mRNA splicing). Its 5' end forms complementary base pairs with the 5' splice junction, thus defining the 5' donor site of an intron. The record is from Rfam by way of RNAcentral. Lineage: Eukaryota; Metazoa; Chordata; Mammalia; Primates; Cebidae.